AUUGAACGCUGGCGGCAGGCCUAACACAUGCAAGUCGAACGAGUGGCGGACGGGUGAGUAAUGUCUGGUAAACUGCCUGCUGGAGGGGGAUAACUACUGGAAACGGUAGCUAAUACCGCAUACCAUCAGAUGUGCCCAGAUGGGAUUAGCUAGUAGGUGGGGGAACGGCUCACCUAGGCGACGAUCCCUAGCUGGUCUGUGAGGAAGACCAGCGCAACUGGAAUGGAGACACGGGCCAGACUCCUACGGGAGGCAGCAGUGGGGAAUAUUGCACAAUGGGCGCAAGCCUGAUGCAGCCAUGCCGCGUGUAUGAAGAAGGCCUUCGGGUUGUAAAGUACUUUCAGCGGGGAGGCGUUACCCGCAGAAGAAGCACCGGCUAACUCCGUGCCAGCAGCCGCGGUAAUAC
RNAcentral lists this ribosomal RNA (406 nucleotides) under uncultured bacterium. RNAcentral describes it as "partial 16S ribosomal RNA". It matches the Rfam family "Bacterial small subunit ribosomal RNA", at positions 30 to 526 of the family's 1533-position model. The record is from RNAcentral.